RNAcentral lists this ribosomal RNA (447 nucleotides) under uncultured Mitsuokella sp. RNAcentral's name for it is "bacterial SSU rRNA". It matches the Rfam family "Bacterial small subunit ribosomal RNA", at positions 355 to 794 of the family's 1533-position model. The record is from RNAcentral. Lineage: Bacteria; Bacillati; Bacillota; Negativicutes; Selenomonadales; Selenomonadaceae.
UGGGGAAUCUUCCGCAAUGGGCGCAAGCCUGACGGAGCAACGCCGCGUGAGUGAAGAAGGGUUUCGACUCGUAAAGCUCUGUUGUCGGGGACGAAUGUGGAGAUGGUGAAUAACCAUUUCCAAUGACGGUACCUGACGAGGAAGCCACGGCUAACUACGUGCCAGCAGCCGCGGUAAUACGUAGGUGGCGAGCGUUGUCCGGAAUUAUUGGGCGUAAAGGGAGCGCAGGCGGGAGGUCAAGUCUAUCUUAAAAGUGCGGGGCUCAACCCCGUGAGGGGAUGGAAACUGGUCUUCUUGAGUGCAGGAGAGGAAAGCGGAAUUCCUAGUGUAGCGGUGAAAUGCAUAGAUAUGACGCAGAACUCCGAUUGCGAAGGCAGCUUUCCAGCGCGCUACUGACGCUGAGGCACGAAAGCGUGGGGAUCGAACAGGAUUAGAUACCCUGGUAGU